RNAcentral lists this long non-coding RNA (4417 nucleotides) under Homo sapiens (human). RNAcentral's name for it is "long non-coding RNA NONHSAT153149.1". The record is from RNAcentral. Lineage: Eukaryota; Metazoa; Chordata; Mammalia; Primates; Hominidae.
UGUGUGUGUGUGUGUGUGCAUAUAUAUAUAUGAGAGAGAGAGAGAGAGAGAGAGAGACACCAUCUUGGUUUUUACUUGAGUACCUAAGACGAAAAACACAAUCCAGGAAUAGAGGACUGUCAUUUGCUUUUUUUAAAAAAUCAAAAGUUAAUGACAUUACUUUAUCAGUACGGAGUGUGUGCAAUUGACCUGUAGGCCCUUCUCUGUCUGGUAAUGAAAAUACAUGCCUUGGAAAUGUGUGUGCACGGACAAAGAGAAAACGGGGGGUGGGGAUAAUUGUCAUAAUGAUCGGGUAAUAAAGGUAGGCCCUGAUUUUUGUGACUACAGUAAUUGCUGCUUCUACUGUCAACACAGCUUAAGUAAAAUAGUGGUGAAACAUCCAUCAGAGAAGCCGAAAGGGAGACAGUAUUGUCUGUUGAAGAAAAACAGUGGUGUCUGCAAUGGCUACAUUACAGAUGCCACCGCUGAGGCAUCCAUGAAAAGAGGUCCACAUGCUUGCCUCUCCAAAGCAACUUGUGCGGAGCUUUAACAAGUCUAUGUUGAUUACAUUUAAAAAAUCUAAUACUAUUUAAGUACAUUUGACCUUGAACAACAUGGAAGUCAGGGUGCCAACCCCUGCGAAUUCAAAAAUCUGAGUUUAACUUUGACUCUCCAAAAACUUAACUACUAAUAGCCUACCUGUUGACUAGAAGUCUUACAAAUAACAUAAACAGUCCAUGAAUGCAGAUUUUGUAUGUGUCUUAUUAUAUAAUGUAUUCUUACAGAAAAAGGAAGCUAGAGAAAAGAAAAUGUUAUUAAGAAAAUUGUAAAGAAGAGGGGCUGGGCACAGUGGCUCAGACCUGUAGUCCCAGCAUUUUGGGAGGCUCAGGCGGGCAGAUCACUUGAGGUCAGGAGUUCGAGACCAGCCUGGCCAACAUGGUGAAACCCAGUCUCUACUAAAAAUACAAAAAUUAGCCGGGCAUGUUGGCGGGCGCCUAUAAUCCCAGCUACUCGGGAGGCUGAGGCAGGAGAAUUGCUUGAACCCAGGAGGUGGAGGUUGCAGUGAGCUGAGAUUGUGCCAUCCUGGGCAACAGAGCCAGACUGUCUCAAAAAAAAAAAAAAGAAGAGAAAAUAUAUUUGCUAUUGAUUAAGUGGAAGUGGGUCAUCAUAAAGGUCUUCAUUCUCUUUGUCUUUAAGUGAAGUAGGCUGAGGAGGAGGAGGAAGAGCAGGGGUUGGUCUCUUUGUCUUAGGGGUGGCAGAAGCAAGAGAAAAUCAAUGCAUGUACCUGUGCCAUUCAAACCUGUGUUGUUCAAAGGUCAACUGUACUUUUCUUUAAACCUGUGGUAAAUUACAGACUUUAUAAAGGGUCCUUUUGUAAUUGUGAAUAAUCACCUCUUAAUUGAUUUCUUUCUAAGGAAUAUAUCAUUCCAUGUAGAAUGUUCUUAAAGCUAGUUAUACCUGUUCUCAGUAACAGAUACAAAUGGUCAUUGCAGUAAGAGAUGAUUAUAAUGAAGAGUUAACAUGAAAAAAUAAAAUAUUCCUUUCUAUUAGUUUGGAAAUGACAUUGGGCAGGGAAGGACCAAUAUAAAAUCUCAAAGCUGUGCAUUGUUCUGUACAUGUCACCUCCAAAUGGCUCCGUAGUCUGAAACUCAGAAUGCCUGUCUUUCUCCUUGAGCUCAGUCUGUCACUGUGUAGCUCAAGAAUUCUCUGAGUUAAUGUGUGGUUGAGAAUGGAAUUUACCAUAGUCAUUUUCCCUCCCGACAUAUCUAUUACAAAAAAAAAAAAAAAACUAUCUACAGUGAUUUACAAACUUUGUUUUCUUUCAGGACAACACAGCAAGCUACCAUCUCAUGUGCUCCAAGAAGAAUUGACUCUUCCCCCUACUUCCCCCGUUUCAAGGAGGUGGGGAGGGGGGCAGAGGCACAGAAUCCUGGCCUUGGUGAUAGGAUGUGGUGUGAUGCUGUUCUUCUGUAUGUACUGUCCCAUGGGGUGCCUGAGGAUACGGUGCUGGCUGUGGUCCAGGUAAAUUGGAGACAAUCCUAGAAGUAAAAACAUCCAUCAUGCUUAGUAGGAUCUUAGGUUGUAACGGCUGCCUUGAGCCUUCAGACAUUUUUUUUAUAAAGCUCCCGGUCAUAAAGCACUCUUUCCGCCUCUGCUGCCAUAUGUUUUUCCAGCUGGACUUUCACCAGUCUUCCACUCUCCAGAAAGUUCUUACUCAUUCAGCCCAAGGGUAUCUCAUCAGUUUUUCUGAGGACUGCUGGAAGUUUCAGCAGGCGUCCUGGCCACACGGAAAAUCUAGCUAGCUAAGCUUGUGGAUGAAGGUCUCCAGUUAUGAGUCUGUGCCCUGAGAUGCUGUUGCCUGCCUUAUUCAAAUUAAAUUUAGAGAAAUUUAAAUAAACAUAUAUAAAUGCAUGAAACUGUAUAAGAAAAAAGUCCUUAUUAGUAUGCAUUUUCUGGGACUCAGACAUCCUCACCAAAUCCAACAGCAAGGAAACUGAAUAACUUUUUGUCUUUUAAGAAUAGUUUUUGUCCGAAGAUUGGAAUCUACCCACUUUUUUAGCCUGAUCAGCCAGUGACCUCUGAACCUUGCUUUUCAUUGUUCAUCUUCUAUUCACCUGGGGCACUGAGGAUGUUUUUGCUUUUCCAGAUGCUGUUUUUACAAUUGGUUGACACAAUGGCUAGAGUCAUGACUCUUGGGUAUGCUUCGUAGUUAUUUGCCUAUGGGACAAGGUUCACUCUUCCAAACUUUUUUUUUUUUUUUUUUUUUUUUUUUAGAGACUGGGUCUCGCUUUGUUCCCCAGGCUGGAGUGCAGUGGCGUGAUCAUGGUUCAUGGAUCACUGUAGCAUCAACCUCCUGGGCUCAAGCAAUCCACCUGCCUCAGCCUGCUUAGUAGCUGGGACUACAGGUAUGCACUACCACCACACCUGGCUAAUUUUUAAUUUUUUGGUAGAGACCCCAGCCUCCCAAAGUCCUGGGAUUGCAGGUGUAAGCCACUCUACCUGGCCUUGAUUUUUGUAUUUUUUUUGUAGAGAUGGGGGUCUUGCUAUGUUGCCCAGGCCAGUCUCAAACUCCUGGCCUCCAGUGAUCCUCCCGCCUCAGCCUCCCAGAGUGCUGGGAUUAUAUUACUACUGCACCCAGCCACUCUUCCAAAUUCUAACCAAGCAGUUUGUUCUUUGUGAUCCAGGCUUAGUUGCUGCCCUGUUGGCCAUUUUUCCUUUGGGUGAAUUUAGGAUUCAGUUCCUCAUCCUCAAAAGCCCUAACUGAAAAGGAACUGAUGACACAUUCUCCAUGGUAAACCCUUCUUGGGAAACUCUCACGAGGACUUGGGCACUGUGUAUCCAGCUCCUAUUUUAGUGAUAGAUUUAUAUUUGAUUUACAAUAGAAAUUGAGCCCACAUCCAGAUUUUAAUAGUGCCACCCAUUCCUUACUGGUGAGACCAUUCUCUUCCUACGGUCCACCCCACCAGCUGACUGCCUCUCCUCCCCACUACAGUUUCCCAGCUGUCUCCUGCCACCCUGCUUCCAUUUGCUGUUGUGUAUGCUCCAAUUUUUUACCUUCACACGACGAAAACUUCAGGGGCAAAAAUUAUACCUAUGAUAAUGUAAAGAGAUCUUAGAACAACUGAGACUGGCAGUAAAAAAUUCAAAAUUUUGACAUUCCUAGUUUGGGGAGACGAGUUAGAUUCAGGGAUAGCUAUGAAAUUGUGCUGUCUGAAUUUGUAAAGUAUUUUUCAAAGCAGAUUAACAGGACACAGUAUUAUGAGGAAAUCACACUGAUUUUCACUUUCUUUCUCGCUUGUUGGUUUCCCUAAAUGCUUAAAUAAGAAUAUAAUUACAAUAUUUCUAAACGAUUGUGCAACUGCUCUGAAGCUUGACUAUUUACCUCCCACCACUCAGAAGAAUACAAGCGGUAUAUAUCUGUUAGGUUACCCAUUAAACGACUGUGACAGAUCGUAUUUCUGGUUAAUUGUUAGUUCCUUAUGACCUUAGACUUUGCCUGUGUAUUUAAUAACACCAUCUGCUGUCUAGGGUAGCAAUACCACCUUUUUACAUGAGGAUUACUGUUCUUACUUCGUAAACAAAAGUGCUCAAUCUGAGGUGUUGAAACUGUACCACAGAAUUAUUUAAAUUAUACUACCUAUGGAAAGCUUAAAGAAGAAAAAAUUAACUUUCUUCUCUAUGGUGGCUUUAUUAGCUUCAAGUAAAAUAUCAGAAUUUAUACACCAUAAGAAAAGUAUUUUUAAAAGAUUUACAAGUUUUAUUAUUGGUCUGCAAAAUGAAAUGUUUUAAAAGAACGUUGUCUCUGUUAUACUUGUUUUGUUUAUCUUCUUCUAGCCGAGUUUCUCAUUGUAUAUGAUCUCUGAGCAAUUUCUCAAUAAAACAGACAAUUUUAAAAAAUUCUCACAAAAUUAAAUCGAGAUGAGACUUAAAAUAAAAU